UUUUAUAUGAAUAAGCAAGCUUUCAAAUUCAUUUUACAAUUAAGUUCAGUUGGGAAUACCUUAACUUCCAUGUCCGUUAUCGUUUCGCGGUUGGGCGGCACUGGAAAUACCCUUAUGUGCAAUGUGGUAACUUCACCGUGUGACAUCAGUUUAACAAAUUUGUAUUAAGGGUGCAGUGAAUUCGUACUGUUUGCCUACCAGAAGGUGCGACUCUGGCAGCGCGACUCCAUCUAACAGCUAGCAGCAGUCAAUGUAUGCAAAACAAAACUUGAAAAUUUCAUAACCCCCGUAAACCGCCUGUUGUUGAUGUUGGCCAAUAUAAAAAAAAGUUAUAUACUUUAACAAUCAAGCAAGCUUAGCCGCUGCAACAGCUCAAUCACUACCUUCACUUUCCCAUUCCCAAACUUUCACCAAAGCUUUAUAAUUUUUGGAAAUCUACUUCAUAAGCGGAACGCGUGCGCCUACUGUAGAGUGCCGACCAGACUGUUAGUGUAUGCAUUAACGGUAAUUAAAAUUAUAACAGGUUCACCAAAAUUUCUGUUUGACGUAAGCCCACGGUCGCUGUCUACUCAUACGAAGGAACUUUUGAUGCAAGGAACAUCGCGAAAGCGGCAGCUGUGUACUUACAGGCGUAUACUCGUACAUAUGUAUGUACUAAUGUGCAUAUGUGUUCUCAGUAAAAAGGCCCCUGCUCGCAGGUAGACAGGUAGACUGUUAAAAGAUUGCAGGCAGUUUUAAUGAGUUAUCGUUAGGAAUCCGGAGGGAAGUGGCUAUUAUUCGGUGUUUGAAAGAGACUGCGAUUGCAGCUCCGAAAUUCUUCCGUUUCCUUAAUCAAGUGCAAUGUAUCGUAAUAAAUUAUGUAUACAUACGGAUGCUUCCAUGACUCGGCAUGUGAUAUAACGGCAUUAAAAAUAUUGGAAAAUGUUAUGUAAUUCACGUUUGGUGCUUUUGUGCAAUUUCAAGUAAGAUUGAAGGAAAUACUCUUAACUAUAAAUUGCGUUGCGAAUCGUAUAUGAGUAAGCCAUUCAUUGCAUACGAAAAUUUUAGUUGUAUUUCAAAAGCAGAAAUUAAACURCAGAAAUGUGUGAUUUAAGAUUA
Long non-coding RNA from Bactrocera latifrons, 1098 nucleotides. RefSeq lists it as uncharacterized. The record is from RefSeq and is a predicted model, not a curated record. NCBI's taxonomy places the organism in Eukaryota, Metazoa, Arthropoda, Insecta, Diptera, Tephritidae. The transcript has 5 exons.